AGAAGACACACAGGUAAAACUUUAUAUUGUGAGAGAUAUGAAAUACAGCAUCCUUUCAAGGAUGAAUUCGGUGCUACUUUUUAUGGCACUGUGUCAGAAUUGAAGACAACAUAACAGCUGGUGAAUUUAAGUACACAUUAUUUGAAUUAUGUUUGCUCUUUAUGUUUCUGUACAUACAUGAGCAUUUCAGGAAGAAUUAUCUGGGAGAUUCUGACACUGUGCUUUUUCCUGUAGGAGUCAGUAGUAAGCAGAAACAACUCCAAGUUAAUAUUCCUUUAAGGAAGAACAGAAUUAGUAAGAUUUGUUGUCAUUUAAAUUCUAUUAAAAUAUAAAGAGCACCAUCCUAGCUAUGAGAUUGUGCCAUCUGAGGUCCAAAGACUAUAGUCAUGUAAUUAGCAAUACUCGAGGCUACAUCUUAACAAGACCAUCUGGAAACUGAAGCUGUUUCAGAGUAAGGAUAUCCACUUUUCAAUUUCAUGUUCAUGUAAUCAAUCAGUGUGUGUGCUGCACUAGAAGCUUGAUAUUUUCUAGUUGGAGGUUAUUUUUAACCUAUAAAACUCUAGUGCUAAGUUGCCUGCUGCUGGUUAAUAUUUCUAGAAUUAACCUGAGGGUCUCAUUCCUAAGAGAUUUGGUACUUGGUUACCUCAGAGAGGUGUACAAAGCCUAUCUUAAUGUUACCAGCAUAUGAGAAAGAGGCAAAAAUGAAAGAUUUAAGAUGAACAGAUGUUGAGAGAACUUUUAUCAUGAGGUCAGGUAAAUGUCAGGUUUGUUUUACGUGGGUUUUACUUCUGAUAGUGUGCUAGAUAAUGCUCACAAAGGUAUUGGGAAAAUAGAUGGUCCCCUCACAGAAAUUGAGACAAAUAUGUAAAUUACUUCCAAGUAAAUGUUUUCCCUUAAAAAACAGGAAGAAAGUAAAAUCCAAUGCAGGUGCAAUUUCUAGCUCUUUAACUCUGGAUUCCCAAAUUACCUGAUGAAAGCUUUUCAGAGAAAGCUCAAUAACUGCAUAAAAGUCUCCCUUCAUUAUUUGGGGAAACUGCAAAACGGAACCACUCACUCCACAGAUUAACUGGAGGACUAAAAGUAGUUUUUUAUCUAAAGGAAGAGAGAAGAUCUGAUUCUUAUAUUACUUACAUGCAUAUAAAUACGGAGUAAUUUCUCUGAAUCCAAGGGAGUAGUGCCAGUUUAGAAAACAUAUGAAAAAUUGUUAGAGUAGUGCCCAGUGUAAUGCUGUAAAUAUUAUGCAGAUCUAUUUGCAUACAUAAAGUAUUUCUCUGCAGGGUCCAACAUUGACUUUUUUGACCUGCCCUGCAUAAGUACUCUGUCUAUUUAAAUAAUGGAUAAAUAGACACACAACUCCAUAUUUGUCAUUGCACUCAGUAUAGAUGACAAAGGUGACAAAGUAAGUGCAUUAGGAAACAAUGGCUUAUGCAAAAUUAUGUUUUACUUUUAUUCAUAGGUUGAAUCACUAUAAUCCUUAAACUUCAGGGCCAUAUUGUCCCUGAGAUUUGGGAAAUGAGAUGGGAAAUUAAUAUUUCAUUUUAGAUGGAUCAGAGUUUUUCAAUGAGGUGUAAUAUAAUAAUGAAAAAGAAAUGUAGUCGACUGAUAUAUACAGUUGUUUGCCCUUCUGAAAUACAAUUGAAGUGUGCAAUGCCUGAGCAGUGUCAGAGCAGUGGAGCUGUUAUUAAUGGUGGUAUGCAUUCUACUGGGAGGCAGUUCAAAUUACACUGCACAGAGCUCCAAAGCUGUCCCUGCUGCCCUGAUGAUGAAUCUACACUCAUUGCUUUAAAAGGAUCUAAAUUAGGUUGCAUUGAAGGCAGGGAUUUCAAUGCCUGCUCCUCUGCAUUGUAGAGAGUUCCAGUGCAUAUGAAAAAGUAUGACAGUAUGGUGCAUAAAAUGAUAUCAAAGUCCUAUUUUCUAUUUUGUUCACUAGCCCUGAGGUAGUGUUUGCAUAAUAAUGAUUUGUGACUCUGCAUAAUAAUGUUUUUCUGGGAAGGUUUUGAAGUGGAUGCUUAUUACAGUAAGGGAUCCACUGCAUGGUGACUGCAAUAGAACCCAUUCAUGCUGCAGUGGAUGAUGUUCUACAUCAAAAGGCAUUUUAGUUUAAGAUAUGUAUAUGUACAUGUUUGUUUAGUAAACCAGGGCUGAACUGAGUUGCUUUCUUUUUUGUUUCUUUGUUUGUUUGCUUUGUCUUGUUUGGUUUGGGGAUUUUUAUUUGUUUGUUUGUUCGGUGAGUGGAGGGAAAGGUGUGCAAAGCUUUCUUUUAUGUCCUUAGGAUACAAUUGACAAUAUUUGAGCUCAGUAAAGGUCAGUAUUACACAAGUGACAAAUAUACAUGAAAGUGAGGCUCUAAGAAGAUAAUAUUCUGAUCUUUAUGCGACAGACUAGAGUGCAAGGCCUUUUAUAAGACUGCUGUCCCUAUCAGCUCAGGCACUUCCAGCUCCUUUGUGCUGUGUGUAAGGCAUGUAAUGAUUGAUGAUCUUUUCAAUCUGUCUUCUAUUGCUGAGCAUUUGUUACAGGCAACCUUCUGUGAUGACCCACCAAGGACAUGAGUUCCUGACUUCAGCUAGAGAGUCCUGGUUUUUCAUUUUGGUCAGCACUGGCUUGUCGCAAGAUUAAACUUCUGUGUGAUUUCCCAAGAGGGUGUCUAUCUAAACAGCUUGCCUGCCUUUCACCUUCUGUUCUUUGUGUUUGAAGAUCCCCAUCUGUUCCAUGAAGGCACUGCUCCAUUUCUGUUCAGUCUUGUGAAUGAAGUAGUGAAUGAACUGGUAAGAGCAUAACCUCUGAAUUCACCCAGGAUUAAACCCCUGAAACAUCAGAAUAGCUUCUGGGGUUCUUUUGUGUGUGUGUGUGUACGUAUGCGUGUUUGGGUGUAUUUUUGUAGUAGGAUGACUCUUGGGGAGAGAUGAUUCAUCUAAAGAAGUGAUCAACAACUUCCUCAAAGAGUGGCAGUGGAUGGAGAGGUAUUAAUUCCUCUCUCUGGUGACCAGUGGUAGGUAGCUGUGUCAGGGGAAGUUCAGACUGGAUAUUAGGAAGAGGUUCCUGACUGGGAGGGUGGCUGGGUACUGCAACAGGCUCCCCACAGCACCAAGCCAGUCAGAGUUCAAACAGAAUCUGGUCAAUGCUUCUGGUCAUAUUUAUGCUCCUGGUUUACUUUUAGGUAAUUCUGUGAGAGGCAGGGAGAUUAUCUUUACUUGUCUUUUUCAAGUUGAGAAAUUCAGUGAUCAUGUGAUUCUAUGUGGUAAAAAAAAUCCUCUGAAAUGGCAUAAUAAUGUUUUUCCUUCGUCACCAUAGUUUGAAUUCUCUUUAGGGCAAAAUGAAUGAAGAGUUAAAGAAGACACAAUCACCAUAGUAAUUGUUAUAAAUAUUAAAUUAUGGUAUAAAUAUGUAUGUAUCUAAUGCAUUCCAUGACAAAUUCUGCUGUGAAGACUGCAACUUGGAGUUGAUUUCUAUCAUUUAAAAAAGCAUCACUUCCUAUGUAUAAAUGUUUUGAAUAAAUGGAGAAGAAGCAAAAAUGCGGGACCGUGUCUGGCUCAACUGCACUAGCAGCUGUUGUUAAAGAGAUUAAGCCCUAAUCCUUAAGAGGAGGAAGAGACGUUUGGAGUGGAAGAACUGACUUUCUUCAAUCACUGGGAACUACAGACUAAUCUGCCAAGUGGCAGGAAAAAAACAACAAACCAGAGUCUUACUAAAUAGUGCAACUUUAAGAUUUCAGUAGAUACUGCGCCUGAGUUAUGAAAAUGACAGAAUGGAUUCAAGCUAUCUGUUGAUCACUAAGCUGAUGAAAAAUUUAUUUGAAGAUUAGUGAUAUGCAGUACUGUAUGAACAAGAACAGGCAUAGGACAGAUCCUACUGACAGUCCACUUGUCACCCUUCUGCUACAUCUGUGUCCAUUUUAAGACUUUUCUUUGGCUGUCAGCAACACCACUAAGUCAAUUUAUCAUCCAAUUUAGAAUACUAACAUCAAUAAUGCAGUGACUCUCUAAACUCCUGUAGAUUAUUAUGAUUUCAUUAUUUACUUUAUAGCCUUUUGUGCCAGUAGUAAGGAAAAUAUUCCUCAAAUCUGGGUAGCAAGUUGUUGUUGUCUGCUUUGACUUUCAUUAAAAUUUCCUUGCAUGAAGUAGGUAAAAUAUUUUGUAAUAUGUGUAGCUACUAACCAGCCCAAACACUGUACCAUUUUUUUUCUUACUAGAGUAAAGAAGUGUCUUGAAUUCAAUUUCACAUGAACAGUUUUGAAAUAGUUUCUAUUUUUACUGCUUUGGUCAGACUUUGAAUUGGUGUAAGAUUCUGUAGUUCACAGAAGCUCUGCAAGUUCACACUUGGUUAAAAAUGUUUUUUCCCUUAAAUAUGGAGGAGGUUUUGAUUUAUUUCCAGGCUUAACAUGUGUAAAGAUAAUAAAAACAGGAGAUAAUUUCACUGAAGUAUCUCAACUUUCAAAUGAACACUAACAAAUGAAAAAGGAUAUGAAAUGCAGAUCUUAACUUUCUUCAGUUAGCAAUUUAUGAUUGUUUUUCAAAUCUUGCUAUGUUUAGGUUGUCAUUUUCUGUCUUCCUUUAGAAUUCUGAAAAAUAGAAUUCUUUAUUAAAACUUCUAGUUAUGAAUUUUUCAUGUUGGCUGAAUAAAUUAUCUUUGUUUUCAUAAUGAAAAAGAUUUUUAUCUUGCUAAAUAUAAGGUAUUUCAAGUCUAGAAAAUGCACCAAACUCUAACUAAUCAUUCAGCAAAGGACAGCCAAUAAAAUUUUUAUGUCUCACACAGUAAUAUUUAUCCUUACUGGAAAGAAAUCCACAUUAUAAUCUGUCUCUAACAUAGUAAGUGUUGAACAGCUUGAAAAUAACAUUUUCUUUUUUUAACUCAAUGCAUGUCUACAAGCAUCCAAAACGAAGUCUGCAUGAAAAGAAAAGAGCUGUGGAAGAGUUCAAGGAUUUUUUUUUAGGCAUGUUUAAAUAUUCAAAUAACAAAGCUAAAAUUUAGCUGUAAGUGUCCCAUUCUGCAGUGGAUUAAACUACACGUUAUAUUUUUACAUUGCAGUCAGCUUUCCAUAUAAGAUUUUUGCCUUCUUUAAUCACA
Sturnus vulgaris (Common starling) is the source of this 5064-nucleotide non-coding RNA. NCBI's taxonomy places the organism in Eukaryota, Metazoa, Chordata, Aves, Passeriformes, Sturnidae. The record is from RefSeq and is a predicted model, not a curated record.